UACGACUACAUAUCAGGCAUAUCAAUAAGCGGAGGAAAAGAAACUAACAAGGAUUCCCUUAGUAACGGCGAGUGAAGCGGGAAGAGCUCAAAUUUGAAAUCUUCAAGGUUUUACCUUGACGAAUUGUAGUUUAAAGAAGUGUUUUCUGUUGAAGUUUUGGUAAAAGUUCUUUGGAAUAGGACAUCAUAGAGGGUGAGAAUCCCGUAUUUGACCAUUAUUUUCAGCUGUGUGAUACACUUUCAAAGAGUCGGAUUGUUUGGGAAUGCAGUCCAAAAUGGGUGGUAAAUUUCAUCUAAAGCUAAAUAUUGGCGAGAGACCGAUAGCGAACAAGUACCGUGAGGGAAAGAUGAAAAGAACUUUGAAAAGAGAGUUAAACAGUACGUGAAAUUGUCAAAAGGGAAGCGUUUGACACCAGUGUUGUUUUCUCGAAAAUCAAUUAAAAAUAGUUGGAUUUUGUGUUGUAUUGACCUUAACAGCUUGCUUCCACUCUUUUCCAGCUUUUUUUAAUGCACUUUUCGUUUAACAAGUCAACAUCAGUUUCUUUUGUUGUAAAAGGGUCAUUGGAAGGUGGCUUUCUCUUCGGAGAAAGUGUUUAUAGCCUUUGAUCUCUGCAAGUCGGAGAGACUGAGGUCUGCAGCGUAGAUCCUUCGGGGUUAGAUACAUUUGUGCUAAGCUACAGCUUUUCAUAGACAACUUGUUGACUAUGUUUAGUCUUGUGACUUACCCGCUUAUGCUAUUUUACCUACGCUUAGGAUGUUGAGCGCAUGUCUCUCUCU
RNAcentral lists this ribosomal RNA (776 nucleotides) under uncultured Neocallimastigales. RNAcentral describes it as "partial large subunit ribosomal RNA". It matches the Rfam family "Eukaryotic large subunit ribosomal RNA", at positions 24 to 616 of the family's 3401-position model. The record is from RNAcentral. Lineage: Eukaryota; Fungi; Neocallimastigomycota; Neocallimastigomycetes; Neocallimastigales.